UACGUAGGGUGCAAGCGUUGUCCGGAAUUAUUGGGCGUAAAGAGCUCGUAGGCGGUGUGUCACGUCGGCCGUGAAAGCCUGCAGCUUAACUGUGGGCGUGCGGUCGAUACGGGCAUCACUGGAGUUCGGCAGGGGAGACUGGAAUUCCUGGUGUAGCGGUGAAAUGCGCAGAUAUCAGGAGGAACACCGGUGGCGAAGGCGGGUCUCUGGGCCGAUACUGACGCUGAGGAGCGAAAGCGUGGGGAGCAAACAGG
Molecule: ribosomal RNA, 254 nt
Filed under: uncultured bacterium
Lineage: Bacteria
Description: partial 16S ribosomal RNA
Rfam family: Bacterial small subunit ribosomal RNA
Source: RNAcentral